Molecule: long non-coding RNA, 601 nt
Organism: Perca flavescens (yellow perch)
Lineage: Eukaryota; Metazoa; Chordata; Actinopteri; Perciformes; Percidae
Exons: 3
Source: RefSeq, a predicted model, not a curated record
UGGAAAUGUAAUUGCAGAUCUUUUGCUCCGGUAGCAGCUAUUUCUCUGACAUUUUCAUUCUGAUAUAUGUUUUUUUUUUGUUUUGUUUUUAAUUUACGAUCUUUGGCUUGUACAAAAUGCUAAAGAAACACCACCUAGUGUCGACACCGCUCAGUAGCUUCCUCCUUCAGCGCGCCUUGGAGGAGGGUCUGGCAAAGCGAGCCUACUCAGUAGCAGAAACACUGUAAAAAAGCUAGUACAAAUCCCAUCGUUUAUUCCCCUUUAUGAAUUGUCCUUUUUGGUUUUGAAUCCUAAAUGCUGUGAUACAUCACUAAGGUGAAACAGGACACAAAUGUAGCACUAAAUGUCAUGCACACUGAAUCCAGAUAGGUGUCAGAAUAUUCCUGCCUGCCCAUCCAGAGGUUUCCUUCUUGCCUGCGGUCAGAGACACCAAAACUAAUGAUAUCAAACUUUCAGUGAAAAUCCAUCAUUUCAACCCUGCUGCCCCCUCAAUUGACCAUCACACAUGUAUGCACGUUCUCUACACCGUGCAUCUCAUCACCCAUUGUGAGGAACUGAGGCACCAUCCCAGUCCACCCCAGCCUCUGCGUUAGGCCCCCCC